AAAUCCAAUUUGGGUCUAGAAAAGUAUUUUUAAAGUAUUGAGGCUUAGGACAAGCCCGGAAAAUUUUCCCGAAAGGAUUCGGUGAAGUGUCGGAGAAAUAAGGAUGUUUGGAGAUGUAAUUUUCGGAUUGGGCUUGAGGAAAUUAAGAGAAAAAGAAAGUUGGAGCAGCCCAAGCCCACUUGGCCCAAAAGGAGGGGCAGAUUCGACUUUUCACAAUUAAAUUUGGGAGAGGUAUUUAAGGAACACAUCCCUCACAAACCCUAGCCACUUCCCUCAUUUUCUCCAUCAGCUUUCUCUCUCUACCGAGAGCCUCUCUCUCUACCCGGUUGCCGGAAAUCGCCGCCGCCGCCGUCGCUGCCGCACCGCCGCCGGCCGCCGCCGUCGCCGGAAUACGGAUUUCAACCAAAAUUUCCAGAUUUUCUCCUCUUCCUUCCCUCUUUCCAUUUCUCCAACCAAAAUCAUGAAAUUUAGCCAUUUAAUCCCCCAAAAACCCUAGAACCCGAAGCUAAAAUUGGGGCUUUUGUGAUUUCUUCUUUCCAAGCUCAAAUCAAGGCUACGGGUUUGGCAAGGAUUUUUGGUGAAGAAGGCCAAGGAGAAGGUAUAUGACGUGAUUUUUGAAGGAGAAAGGGACCCGAGCGGGUGCACUUGGAUUUGGAUAAAGGAUCGAAAGUCGGGAACGAACCCGAAUGUGGGCAAGCACUCCAUUUCCAGUGUGCAGGUUUCGAGCAUGUGGUCGGGAAGCGUACAGGGGAGGCACAUGGCACGGCUUGGCGCAUUUCUCUUUAGUUUUAUCAAAAGAAGGUUUUGGUCCUUAAUCGGAUUUUGUAGUAGCUUGUUUAUUUACUUUUUAUUUAUUUCCUACUCGUUUACAAAAAUUCCGGGAGACCCGUAACCCUGGGGCGCGUCUCCCUUACUUGUCGUUACUUAGAGAUCAGUUUUAUUUUCCAAAUUGGGCUCGGAGCCCAAGCCCAAAACUCUU
Rosa rugosa (rugosa rose) is the source of this 979-nucleotide long non-coding RNA. RefSeq lists it as uncharacterized. The transcript is spliced from 5 exons. NCBI's taxonomy places the organism in Eukaryota, Viridiplantae, Streptophyta, Magnoliopsida, Rosales, Rosaceae. The record is from RefSeq and is a predicted model, not a curated record.